RNAcentral lists this transfer RNA (88 nucleotides) under Streptomyces sp. S816. Its description in RNAcentral is "tRNA-Arg". The record is from RNAcentral. Lineage: Bacteria; Bacillati; Actinomycetota; Actinomycetes; Kitasatosporales; Streptomycetaceae.
CGGGAGCUGGCCGGGAGGGUGGCGGCGGGCGGCGAGCCCGUGGACGCCGUGGUGGAGGCGCCCAGGCUCGGGCCCUGACGUCCCGCCC